RNAcentral lists this ribosomal RNA (448 nucleotides) under uncultured bacterium. RNAcentral's name for it is "bacterial SSU rRNA". It matches the Rfam family "Bacterial small subunit ribosomal RNA", at positions 329 to 794 of the family's 1533-position model. The record is from RNAcentral.
ACCCAGACUCCUACGGGAGGCAGCAGUGGGGAAUAUUGCACAAUGGGGGAAACCCUGAUGCAGCGACGCCGCGUGAGUGAAGAAGUAUUUCGGUAUGUAAAGCUCUAUCAGCAGGGAAGAUAAUGACGGUACCUGACUAAGAAGCCCCGGCUAACUACGUGCCAGCAGCCGCGGUAAUACGUAGGGGGCAAGCGUUAUCCGGAUUUACUGGGUGUAAAGGGUGCGUAGGUGGCAGGGCAAGUCAGAUGUGAAAGCCCGGGGCUCAACCCCGGUACUGCAUUUGAAACUGUCCAGCUGGAGUGCAGGAGAGGUAAGCGGAAUUCCUAGUGUAGCGGUGAAAUGCGUAGAUAUUAGGAGGAACGCCAGUGGCGAAGGCGGCUUACUGGACUGUAACUGACACUGAGGCACGAAAGCGUGGGGAGCAAACAGGAUUAGAUACCCGUGUAGC